This 427-nucleotide ribosomal RNA is filed under the name uncultured bacterium. RNAcentral describes it as "bacterial SSU rRNA". It matches the Rfam family "Bacterial small subunit ribosomal RNA", at positions 355 to 774 of the family's 1533-position model. The record is from RNAcentral.
UAGGGAAUAUUGGACAAUGGGGGCAACCCUGAUCCAGCCAUGCCGCGUGAGUGAAGAAGGCCCUCGGGUUGUAAAGCUCUUUUGUCCGGAAAGAAAAGCUUCGGGUUAAUACCCCGGGGUUCUGACGGUACCGGAAGAAUAAGCACCGGCUAACUUCGUGCCAGCAGCCGCGGUAAUACGAAGGGUGCAAGCGUUACUCGGAAUUACUGGGCGUAAAGCGUGCGUAGGUGGUUGUUUAAGUCUGAGGUGAAAGCCCUGGGCUCAACCUGGGAAUGGCAUUUGAAACUGGGGAGCUAGAGUGCGGUAGAGGGUAGUGGAAUUCCCGGUGUAUCAGUGAAAUGCGUAGAGAUCGGGAGAAACAUCUGUGGCGAAGGCGACUGCCUGGACCAGCACCGACACUGAGGCACGAAAGCGUGGGGAGCAAACA